Panonychus citri (citrus red mite) is the source of this 1605-nucleotide long non-coding RNA. RefSeq lists it as uncharacterized. Lineage: Eukaryota; Metazoa; Arthropoda; Arachnida; Trombidiformes; Tetranychidae. The transcript has 3 exons. The record is from RefSeq and is a predicted model, not a curated record.
AUAGAGAAAAUCAUUCUAACUUUUAAACAAUUAACUGAUUAUCUGAAUUUUGUUAGUGUGUUUAAAUCACUCAACUCAAUCCCAACAAAUAAAAUGGACUCCAAAUCAAUUGUCGUUUAUGUCGCUCUCUUUGCUUCAGCCAUCGCAAUGGCUUUUGCUAACCCAGAGCCCGAACCUGAGCCACAACCAAUUUUAGGCGCUCUUCAGAAUAUCCUUGGUUAAUCAACGUAACAAUUGAAGAAAUAAGAAUAAAAGAAAAUUUUAUUCUGAUUGUAUUUUAAUUGUCGUGAAGAUUAUUAAGUUAAUAGCAACAGUUAUGGAUUAAUAAGAAUACUAAUAAAAUCAAAGCAUUUGAAACAAAUAAUUCGCUUAUCAAAUUAUUCAUAUUCUAUAUUAAGGUAUGUAUGGUAAAGUUUGGGAAUAAAAUUUUCAAACUAUUAUGGUUACUUUAAUUUCCAAUUAAAUUUCUUGAAAUUAUUAAUAAACUUUUGAGCUUCAAUUGGGUAUCUUUUCACGAAUAUUGCAUCAAAUCAAAGCAUCGAAAAUUCGAUUUUUCGAAUGUAUGUCGAAAAUAAAUUGUCAUAUUUUUCAGAGGUAGCUCUGAACAAAUGUUCCAAACUUUACCGUUCAUACCUUAUUAUUAAUGUAUUUCAAUGAAAACGUUUACAAAUACGCGAGUGAUUGACUCAACUUUGAAUAAUAUUUUCUAAUAAUCGAAUUUAAUUUUACAUAAAAAAAUUAUCAAAAGACUUGUUAGAAAUGUUCUAAGUAUCUUCGAGUGCUUCAGUCCUCAAAGAAAAUGCUAUUAAUAGUUGAUUGUCUGUCAACAAACUUGGAACAAGGGCGAUAUCAUUCAUCAAGAUUUCACGAGUUUACUGGAUUUGUUAUUGUGAUAUGUUGAUACCUCAAGAAGAGCAAUUAGUUACUAGUUGUAACAAAAGAGAAAUAGUAUUCUGAAUGACUAAUUAAUCAAAUCUUUUUGAUUGAAAGAUAUUCUAAUGAUACAAGUUCCUCUCGAUCUUAUAUUCGUAGCAACAAUUAUCUAGUAUUUAUCUCUAAGUAUAAAUGGAGAUAGACUCUCAUUCAUCAAUCAUUUAUCAUUAAUCUACAGUUUAAUUUUAAUUACUCAGUUUUUCAGCUUUUUAAUCAAUUAUUAUCGGAAACAUUUGUCUUUUACAUGAACAUGACUCACUAUAAUAUCACCCAUUUUCUUUCAGUAUAAAAGGAGAUGAAAUUGAAUAGGAAAAAUCAUUCUGACUCUUCAUCUGUUCAACAAACAAUUAACUGAUUAUUUGAAUUUUGUUCGUGUGUUUAAAUCACUCAACUCAAUCCCAAUAAAUAAAAUGGACUCCAAAUCAAUUGUCGUUUAUGUCGCUCUCUUUGCUUCAGCCAUCGCAAUGGCUUUUGCUAACCCAGAGCCCGAACCUGAACCACAACCAAUCAUGCAGUUGGUCAACGAUAUUCUCGGAUAAUUUGUCUUAUUACCGACAGCGACUAAUCAAAUAUUGAUUACGUUGAUACCUUCGAAUGGUCAUUAUGAUUUAUUAAUAGUUAAUUGCAGUUAUAAAUGUUGAUUAAUAAAUAAAGCAUUUAAAAAAGAAAAAA